CCUACGGGAGGCAGCAGUAGGGAAUAUUGGUCAAUGGGCGAAAGCCUGAACCAGCAACGCCGCGUGCGCGAUGAAGGCCUUCGGGUCGUAAAGCGCUUUUGGGAGGGAUGAAAAUGACAGUACCUCCCGAAUAAGGAUCGGCUAACUACGUGCCAGCAGCCGCGGUAAGACGUAGGAUCCAAGCGUUAUCCGGAAUUACUGGGCGUAAAGGGCGUGUAGGAGGUUGGGCAAGUCGGCCAUGAAAGCUCCCGGCUCAACUGGGAGAGGCUGGUCGAUACUGCCUGGCUAGAGGGCAAGAGAGGGAGGUGGAAUUCCCGGUGUAGUGGUGAAAUGCGUAGAUAUCGGGAGGAACACCAGUGGCGAAGGCGGCCUCCUGGCUUGUACCUGACUCUGAAACGCGAAAGCAUGGGUAGCAAACAGGAUUAGAAACCCUGGUAGUCCAUGCCAUAAACGAUGUCAACUGGGUGUCGGCGAAGUAAAAUUUGUCGGUGCCGAAGCUAACGCGUUAAGUUGACCGCCUGAGGACUACGAUCGCAGAAUAAACUAACAAUAGUAAUUAGUACGGCGUGAGACGUGCCGAACGGACGACGACGAGGGAGGUAGG
RNAcentral lists this ribosomal RNA (604 nucleotides) under uncultured bacterium. RNAcentral describes it as "bacterial SSU rRNA". The stretch from base 1 to 519 matches the Rfam family "Bacterial small subunit ribosomal RNA", at positions 338 to 873 of the family's 1533-position model. The record is from RNAcentral.